This 469-nucleotide unclassified non-coding RNA is filed under the name Wallemia mellicola. RNAcentral's name for it is "sequence contains 18S rRNA gene, ITS1, 5.8S rRNA gene, ITS2, 28S rRNA gene". The stretch from base 121 to 273 matches the Rfam family "5.8S ribosomal RNA". The record is from RNAcentral. Lineage: Eukaryota; Fungi; Basidiomycota; Wallemiomycetes; Wallemiales; Wallemiaceae.
GAUCAUUAGUGAUUAAUUAUUGAGUGUAAAAACUCAUAAUCUUCUAUACAAACCACUGUUUUAAAAUGUUUACUAGAAUGUCCAAGCAGUUAAGCUGUUGAAAUAUUAAAAGUUUAAUAAAACUUUCAGCAACGGAUCUCUUGGUUCAGGCAUCGAUGAAGAACGCAGCGAAAUGCGAUAAGUAAUGUGAAUUGCAGAUACAGUGAAUCAUCGAAUCUUUGAACGCAAAUGGCACUCUAUGGUAUUCCGUAGAGUACGUCUGUUUGAGCGUCGCGAACAUCUCCAUAAUUAGUUUUUUUUAAAUUGAUUGUGGGUUUUGAGGUUGUCAUAUAAGCAAUGACUCCCUUUAAAAUAAUUAGUGAUGACCUUAUGAAUGGGUUAAUACUGUGUGUUAUAAUGGAUUACAUCCAUCACCAGUCAGAGAGUAAUCUCGCCUUAGUAAUUUGUAGUGAUUGCUUCUAACUGCCAU